GACUCCCCCAAAGGGGAGCUAAGGCACAACACGCUGUCCCCAGUCCAACCGGGCUCCUGGAAACUUUCCUACUACCCACCAGGCUGCUUUGCCACGUUCGGUCUUGGUUCCUCCUCUGGGAAAGUAAGACGCUGGUGGAAACCCGAGUGUCCCAAGCUUUCUACAGGCAUGGCUGUGGGCUCCGGACGACCAUGGAGGCACACGCUGCAGCCCCGUCGCCAGCCCUCCCCUGGGGCUGUCCAUUUUCCUGCCACCCACGUGAGAGGGGGUGUAACCCACACCAAGAGCCGAAGCUUUAUUUGACUUGGGAAUCAAACUAGCCCACGACUUCCUUCAGCAGCAGUAGCUCCGACCUGAUAUCUCCUCUUCCUGGCACCUUGAACUCCAAGUUACAUUUAUCCUUUGGGACCUGCCCACUGCUAUGGUCUGUCUAGGUCUCCUGGAUGCCCACUCUGUCACCUGGGGUCCUGGCAUUUCCUCACCACCCCAAGCCCCUGAGUAUAUGUUGGCUUCACCUCCCACCCAGGGGGAGUCAGGGCCCUGGGGCAGGAGAGGAGGCAGAGACAGGUGGGCCCUUUCCAGGUGCAUACAGUCCUAUGUCGGCACCUCUGGGUGUGGCUGUCCCCCGCUGGACUGACAUUGCAUAAGCUUUGGGGAGAACCCUCUGGGCUGAUUGGGAAGCUGAGAUAGAGCCUUGAAGCUUCCUGAGUGCUCUGUAACUGCAAGGGCAUGUCCCUUGGAGUCCACCCUUAUCAUUGGUGUCUCUGUUUUCCCUGUCUCAUCUUGGGUCCCCCCUCUGCUUGGCCUCCUUGUGUCCUCCCCAGCCCUGUGCAUACCGAUCAUUCCCACCUCUCAUACGCCUCUCGGGUCACCUGUGCCCUUCAGCCCUGCACAGGUCCAGGCUUUCAAGGGCCCACGCUGCAGCAGAUUCUCAGGGCAGACCUCUGUCUGCUGUGACUUUGCCGAUGUCUCUCCCCUCUGAAUUGGACAGUAGGGACUGACUGCUUGGCCACAGGCUUGCUGUCACAGGCCCAUGCCUCCUUGCUUCUGUCUCUUGAGGCUGAGACAAUGACUUACCAUAUUUCUGUUCUCUGCCUGUGAUCCCCAGCCACAGCCAUUGCCCGGCAGUGCUCUCUGCAGGGCUUCUCAGUAAUGUGGCCAGGGAUGGGUCCCAGACAAUGGAAGACAGAGGAGGGAGGGCCUCGGUCCUGCAUCAGCUCUGCCCAGAGAGUGGAAGGCAUUUGCCCAAGAUGCAAGCCUCUGUGAGUUUGGCAUGUGAUUGAUGGCCUUCCAAGUCCAACCAUGCAUCGCUUAGUGAUGGGGACAUUCUGAGAAAUGUGUGGUUAGAUAGUCACUGCUGCAUGAGCAUCACAGAGUGCGCUGGUGCAAACCUAGACUGCAGGGCCUGCCACACGCCUUGGCUGUACAGUAGACACUGUUGCUAGUGUCCUCUGUGAUCAGCUUGUCUAGCCUUCAAAAAUCCUUCAUUUGCCCUCACACCAUACUCAGAGACUCGGAAUGGGCAUUCCUAUCAUAUGAUGAAUGACAAUUCUUGCUUCACUCAAACUGUCCAGAGCUAGCAGUAAAUAACCACCAUGGCUGAGUCCAGCCUUCUUUUCCACAUUGCAAACAAACGUUUUGCUUUGGCCAUGAUCAUUGUGUGUGGAGAGGGAUGUGCUCCUGUGUCAUGUCCUCAAUCCUGGUCAGCAGCAGUUUCUCCACAUCAGAUCUGAAUUUCUUGUUAGUCUCGUGGCCUCCAGUGAAGCAGAGCCUUUAGCAGCUUCCAUCACUUGCUUUUGUGCCUCAAGACUGCAGGACAGUGGAAGGGGACAUGCCUGAGUGGCGAGUGCUGACCAGCGCUGAUCUCCCACCUUCGUAGUCUAGUCACUUUGACCUUCCAGGUCCAUCACUUGACCUGGCCUCUUCCUGGCAACACAGCAGUGGAUUUUGUGCACUUGGAAGCUGUGAUGAGCCAAGCAACAAGAGACUAAAUCAAGCAGAGAGAAGAGGACACCAUCAAGAGACAAGAAACGUGAGAUGUAUGACGUGGCCGCUGGCCACUAUCACACACGUGGUCCAUCACCAGGGAAGCAUGGCUGUGUGGCACCUGCCCACGCUCUUGUUACUCUGGGAUUAAAGCACUGGCAGCCAUGCUGGCCUUGGCAAGCCCUCAAGAAUGCUCGCCCUUGCUGUUACCGUCACUGUUUCCUACUUGUGGACCACACAACCAUUCUGGAGGCCACAUGAAGUGUUGCCAUUUUGGAGGUCAGAAGUGGCCAAAUGUUGGCAAUUUCAUAUGACUCAGCACAGUAGUUCUCCCCUCAAAAUUGUUCUGCUUUGUUUAUUAAAUCAAACAGGCUUUUUCU
This is a long non-coding RNA of Sciurus carolinensis (gray squirrel), 2366 nucleotides long. RefSeq lists it as uncharacterized. The transcript is spliced from 3 exons. The record is from RefSeq and is a predicted model, not a curated record. Lineage: Eukaryota; Metazoa; Chordata; Mammalia; Rodentia; Sciuridae.